UACGGAGGGUGCAAGCGUUGCUCGGAAUUAUUGGGCGUAAAGGGUAGGUAGGUGGUCUCAUUUGUCUGAGGUGAAAUCCUUGAGCUUAACUCAAGAAGUGCCUUAGAAACGGUGAGACUAGAGUUCUGGAGAGGGUCGUGGAAUUCCCGGUGUAGCGGUGAAAUGCGUAGAGAUCGGGAGGAACACCAGAGGCGAAGGCGGCGACCUGGACAGAUACUGACACUCAACUACGAAAGCGUGGGUAGCAAACAGG
This 253-nucleotide ribosomal RNA is filed under the name uncultured bacterium. Its description in RNAcentral is "partial 16S ribosomal RNA". It matches the Rfam family "Bacterial small subunit ribosomal RNA", at positions 524 to 776 of the family's 1533-position model. The record is from RNAcentral.